Molecule: transfer RNA, 84 nt
Filed under: Candidatus Yanofskybacteria bacterium RIFCSPHIGHO2_01_FULL_45_42
Lineage: Bacteria; Candidatus Yanofskyibacteriota
Also listed under: 1 other name
Description: tRNA-Leu
Rfam family: tRNA
About the family: Transfer RNA (tRNA) molecules are approximately 80 nucleotides in length. Their secondary structure includes four short double-helical elements and three loops (D, anti-codon, and T loops).
Source: RNAcentral
GCCGCGGUGGCGGAAUUGGCAGACGCAAUUGACUCAAAAUCAAUCGAGCGCAAGCUCAUGGGAGUUCGACUCUCCCCCGCGGCA